CCAACUUUGAGGUGUUCCGUUGUCGCCUCAGACGAAGCGAAGGACUCGAUGGAGUCGUCCGUGAUGAAGGCAAAGCAAUCAAACAAGGCAGAGUCGAUGAGAGAAGGUGGUCGGGACGGCGCAGAGGAUGCAGGAGGCGGCCAAGGAGACGACAGGAAGGACGACGACGACGACGCAACCGUGUGCAAGUGGAGGCAACGAAGCACGGAAGGAGUGUGUGAGAGGUUGACUUGUCACAUGUGGGAACUACAGAGAAUGGUUAUCUACAGACGUUUCGAAAGGAGGACUUCGAUUCAUGUCACUUUCGAUCACGCGAACUCCGGCGGAGGCGGCAGGUUGAGAUCCAAAUCGAAGCGAAUCGUGUCCGUCGGCCAGACGGAUGUUGGGGAGCGAGGACAAUCCACCACCGAGGACGAGUCUGAGUCGCUCUCCACCCCGCCACAAGCCGGCCCUCUGAAAUCCCUAACCGCCGCCGAUUUCUUGGCAGCAGCGAUCAGGUCCGAGUGCGGGAAGGGGGACAGGGAGGACGGCCGCCGCAGCGCGAGAUUUAGCGGCGAGGGACCGACGGCGGGCCGCCUCGAGGAGGUGGACGACUCGAUGGUGCUGUUGCUGGGGCUGGCUGGCGCCGCCGUUCCGGCCGCUAAUCCGGUGGCGCAGGCGAGGGAUUCGGCGGGACAGGGAAAGUUGGUCUUGGCUUUGGGGCCACGGAAUCGGCAGGCGGCGGCGUCGUAGGCGCGGGCGGCCUCCUCGGCGGUGUCGAAGGUGCCGAGCCACACGCGGCACUUCUUGGCCGGGUCCCGGAUCUCCGCCGCGUACCGCCCCCAUGGCCGCUUCCGGACGCCCCGGUAGUGCAUCCCCUUCC
This 862-nucleotide long non-coding RNA is filed under the name Musa acuminata (dwarf banana). RNAcentral's name for it is "long non-coding RNA (MACU_LNC003736)". Lineage: Eukaryota; Viridiplantae; Streptophyta; Magnoliopsida; Zingiberales; Musaceae. The record is from RNAcentral.